GUCUUUUUGAUUAAUAUGUAAAGUCUCGCCUGCCCACUGAAAAUUUUAAAUGGCCGCGGUAUUUUGACCGUGCUAAGGUAGCAUAAUCAUUAGUUUUUUUAUUGAAAGCUGGAAUGAAGGGUUGGAUGAAAAAAAAGCUGUCUUUAUUUAAUUUUAAUAGAAAUUUAUUUUUAAGUUAAAAAGCUUAAAUUUUUUUAAAAGACGAGAAGACCCUAUAGAGUUUUAUAAUUUUUUUAAUAACUUUUUUUAGUAUUAAAUUUAUUUAUAUAUUUAAAUUAUUGAGUUGGGGUGAUUGAAAAAUAAGUUGAACUUUUUUUAUAUAAUUAUAUUGAUUAAUAAUUUAUUGAUCCAAUUUUUUUGAUUAUAAGAAUAAAUUACCUUAGGGAUAACAGCGUAAUUUUAUUGGAGAGUUCAAAUUGAUAAUAAAGAUUGCGACCUCGAUGUUGGAUUAAAAUUUAUAAUUGGUGCAGAAGCUAUAUUAUUAAGUCUGUUCGCCU
RNAcentral lists this ribosomal RNA (497 nucleotides) under Diabrotica sexmaculata. Its description in RNAcentral is "partial 16S ribosomal RNA". Lineage: Eukaryota; Metazoa; Arthropoda; Insecta; Coleoptera; Chrysomelidae. The record is from RNAcentral.